Molecule: long non-coding RNA, 4032 nt
Filed under: Homo sapiens (human)
Lineage: Eukaryota; Metazoa; Chordata; Mammalia; Primates; Hominidae
Description: HSALNT0121862
Source: RNAcentral
GUGCACAUUCUUGUGGGCUGAGUUCAGGGUUUGGCCACAGGCUAGUCUCCUGUCUCCACAGCUAAUAGGGGGUUUGGUGUAGGCCCUGGCAUCCCCACCAGUGGUUUGCUUUGUAAUUUUUCCCUCUUGGCCUGUGGGAGGACUGAGGCAUGGUGUCUAGAACUCCUGCGCAGCUGCAGGCCUGCUUGGAGGGUGAGGUGGCUGUUGUGGGGCAGGUGAGAGCACGCCAGGGCCAUAGCUAACCUCCAGCCUUCAUGAAGAGCCCAUGGCAACUCUGUGGGAAUCCUUCCAGCAGCCCGCUUAUGGCUGGAGACAGAGGUGUGGCUUCUAUCUAAGCUUUUCCCUCUGACUCAGUCCAGGAGGCAACUGUCUUGGGAAGCAAAUGAUAACAGCAUCUGGGAGAUUCUCUUCUGGAUGGACUAGCAGGGAAUCAGGACAUGAACUCAGUGGACUAACUGCACCGAGACUCACCUGGUCAUUACUUGAAGGUCAUUACUUAAACCUCCAUGAAUCUCCUGAUGAACUCCCUCAGAAGGUGGAAGGAGCACCUGACACCGACCCGAGAUCAGCAGCAGCUACGCCCACGCUGUGGGCAGUUAAGAGGCAGCCAGUGGUACCAGUCGUGAGCGAUCAGAUUUGAGGACUCAGGAUUCUGGUUUCCUGAGUGUCAUGGACCUGCGGGCUGCAGAAAUGACAGCGACAGGUCUUCAGGCAGGUGCCACAGCACCCACACACUGCCAGCAUUUUGUGCAAAAUACCCAAAGCCACAUCACCAGAUCUGGGCUCUCCUAGCUUCCCUUUGCUAAAAUGCUGGCCAAAGAGCUUAACGAGCCACUCAGGGGCACAAGAUAGGUGAAACCUGCAUGUUUUGUUUGUUAAACUAUUUGCCACAUGGCACAAGAAAAUAACAAAAAAUAAACAAAAGGAAUAACUGCAGCAUCAUGGUUUUGUUAAGAUGUCCCAAAGCUGAUCAGGGCUUCCUGUUGAAAUCUAAAUGAGACUCUUCCUAGGUGGCUUACAUUCAGUCAGCUGUGGCUCUGUGCAAAGAAAACCAGUUUCCCUUGCUCAGAAAUUUGGAGCCACUGAUAAGAGAAGAAAAGUGUGAUUCCACAUGGAGGGUCAUGAUACAAUCUGAUCUCUGACCCCGUGGAGGUGAAGGGGCUUGUUCUGCAUGCCAGGCUGAGGACUCUCGGGACUGAGGCAUUCAGAGUCGCAGCUUUAAAUCAUAAGGGUUCCCUGCCCAUUUCAUCACAAGUCAGCAGCAUCCAAAGAGUGGCGUUGAAGAAAAUCUCAUCACCGUGGGCUCAGUUUAGAUUGCUAGUCGGCUCAGAAAGCUACCUGCAAUUGCGUUUCCAGGAUGCACCACAAAUACUCUCCACAUGAGGGAGAACAUCAGUGGAUGAAACUCAGCAUGCUUAGUGCGGGGCCAAGUCCUCUAACAAAGGACACAGCGGUUAACCUGCAUUUCGAGGACAGGCACUGUCAAGCCCUCAUCAGGGAUCCAUCCAGAGAACUUUGGUAAUUCUUGCAAAAUCCCUGUAUCACACAAUUUCCUUCCUUAAUGUGAUGAAGUGUAACGGACACAUCUAUAAAGCUUCUUCAGUCCUGCAAUGCAUAGAUGAGCAGAAGGCCACAAAGCCAGGUUGGUUGCAGGGACGGGGCAGCAGGCAAGGCAUGGUCACUGUGGAAAGUGACGGAGGCCACUUUUAACAGGUAGUCCAGCCAAGUGUGGGCCACAGUAUCUUCUGUGCUUCCCAUCAGGCCUUCACCUGUGGCCUUAUUUUGUGGCUGCACUGAAACAUGCUUGACACCAAGGUUUUCUUCAAACGUCAGCUUCCAUUCAUCCCACCGUGGUACUUGUCCCUGUUGUCCUAUGCCACCGUCUCCUCUUUUUGAAAGAUUCACAGACUCCACUCCCCACUCCCUGACCCCCUAACUUGGACAGAGUGCGAUAUUUUUCCCUUGUGAUUGAAUACAAUUCUCAGGCUUAUCUAUGUAUCUCAGGCAAACAUAUGCCCACAUAUGUAUAUGUGCGUAUAAGUGAGCAUUUAAGCUAUUGUAUUGUAAUUGUUGGUUGGCUCAUGUGUUCCUCACACUAGUCUCUUUGAGGCAUGAGACCUUGCUCAUUUUAUGUUUGUAUCCUCCCAGAACAUACUAUGUGCUUAAUUUAUAAUUGUUAAAUUAGCGAAGGUAUUCCUGAUGCUAUCCAGCAUAGUCUUAUAUGGUAAGAUAUUUGAUGAAAAUAUUUCUCUGUUGAUUGCUGAUUCCAAUUCAUGAUCUCUAAGACACCAUCUUAAAUUUCAUGCUCACAAACUAAGAGCUAGUUGAGGGAUUGUAUUAGGUAUAAUCUGUGUAUGUGUAUAUUCCUGUGUUACAGGUCAUAGCACUCUCUACCAUCAGAAUGGAGCCUGCCUGAAUGUGAGCUCAGUGAGAGGCAGAUUCCAUUCUUGGGCCCGUCCACGGUGACUUGUCUGCUCUGCUCCAUCAUCCACUUAUUCACAAGUUCUGGGGCAACAAAGGGCACGUUUUGUUUCAUCUUGUGCCAAACCCUCGAUGUGUACUCACUCACUCUACCUCAUCUCAAGAACUUCAGGGCUGGGAGUGCAUUUGGAGAGAAGGCAUGUGCAAUAUCUGGAAGCCUUAGCACAGGUGGGUUAUACUGAUGCUCUAUAGCCAAACUAUAGGAACUUGGGUUCUAAGGCCAGCAGGCCCAGGUGUCACCCCAAUGGCUCCCUUCAACAGCAGCAUAAAUAAGUCAUGUCAGAAGAACUCACAUUAGCCAUCUCCAGGACUCAUUUCCCUCUCAACAGCAGGAGCUCCUGCAGUCAGAACAGCGGUAAUUUUCAAAUCAGGCAUGUGGUGAUGCAGCAGGAAAGUGCCUGCAUCCCAGGUGUCCCAGCAGCUUUCUGGAGACCUCUAAUACCCACAUCUGCACCACAAAACUGCACAGCAUUGAGUGAUACCAAUCUUCUUAUACAUAUAGGUAAGUGGUAAUAGAAUGCCUCAACAGCAGACCACCCAGGAACCAAAGACAUACUGGAUUUUCAAGUCAGAAGAAUGCUUAGAGAUCAUCUGACCCAAUAGCCAUAUUUUACAGUAAGAUGCAGAAGCCAGUGUCCACAGUGCUAAAGCCACUGGUCCAAGGUGAAAGAAUUUCAAACCCAUAAAUACCUCCAAGAAGCUUCCACUGGGACCCUAUGAUUUUAGUAAAAUUAUCAACAUUCAUGACCUAUGUCUACUGAUCUUAGCGUCUUCUCAGUAGGCAAUUAUUCUUUCUCACAUCAAUUUGCAGUUGCUAUAUUAUCAGCAUCCUUGGUAAAUCCAUCUUGUGUUCUGGGUGAAGACUAACAGAUUCUUCCUUCUUGGACUCUGUCAUUCACUCUCAUCCCUCAUAACAUCUGGCCACUGCUCUAAACACAGUGGCCUUUGAGAAAUGCUGCUGAAUUCUGACUAAGAAAGAGGAGAACUUUCAAAUACAAGAAAGUGAACAUUAUAGAGCUUACCACUCAAGAUGGUUUUCUACAAAUGCGGACAUGGGGCUGAUCUGCACCGUGUAAGUAUCAUUUGCCGAGUACUCAAAGAGUCCAUAGUAAGGGUUGAAGAGCUCCUGAGACAGAAGGAAGAAGAACUCCCGCGAGGGGCCACUGUAGUCCAGGCUGCAAAGAAAGCAGAGGUCCAGGAAGCUCAUUCUGUGCCCGGAGGUGGGGGGACCUGUUUGCACCCAGAUUCUAGUGUGCCCUUUCAGAGUUGGGUGCUGGGGAAAGCAGAGAGCAGCCUCUGCUCUUUGGAGUGAAUGCCAAUGGCAGCAUCAAUUUGCUGUAGAAAAUGAGGAUGCAGUAAUUGGUUUGGAGAUGUUUCUUAACCAGAUGUCCAUGAAUAAACUCUUAUGGCAGCUUUCCUUAGUGUUUUCUUUUGAUCAUCUAACACCUCUGAGCUAAAACACACAGCUGGCCCAUUGAAUACAAGGCCUUUGUUGUGGGACACAUAAAAGAAUUUCCUGCAACAGUGAAUGUGUGCAUGCAUGUGUGUGUG